Molecule: ribosomal RNA, 472 nt
Filed under: uncultured bacterium
Lineage: Bacteria
Description: bacterial SSU rRNA
Rfam family: Bacterial small subunit ribosomal RNA
Source: RNAcentral
UAAAGGCCUACCAAGCCUGCGAUCUGUAGCUGGUCUGAGAGGGCGACCAGCCACACUGGGACUGAGACACGGCCCAGACUCCUACGGGAGGCAGCAGUGGGGAAUUUUGGACAAUGGGGGAAACCCUGAUCCAGCCAUGCCGCGUGCGGGAAGAAGGCCUUCGGGUUGUAAACCGCUUUUGUCAGGGAAGAAAAGGCGCAGUCUAAUACAUUGCGGCCAUGACGGUACCUGAAGAAUAAGCACCGGCUAACUACGUGCCAGCAGCCGCGGUAAUACGUAGGGUGCGAGCGUUAAUCGGAAUUACUGGGCGUAAAGCGUGCGUAGGCGGUUAUGCAAGACAGAUGUGAAAUCCCCGAGCUCAACUUGGGAACGGCAUUUGUGACUGCAUGGCUUGAGUGCGGCAGAGGGGGAUGGAAUUCCGCGUGUAGCAGUGAAAUGCGUAGAUAUGCGGAGGAACACCGAUGGCGAAGGC